UGCAGUCGAACGGAGCACUGAGACUUCGGUUUUUGUGCUUAGUGGCGGACGGGUGAGUAACGCGUGAGCAAUCUGCCUUUCAGAGGGGGAUAACGACUGGAAACGGUCGCUAAUACCGCAUAACGUAUUUUGCAGGCAUCUGCGAGAUACCAAAGGAGCAAUCCGCUGAAAGAUGAGCUCGCGUCUGAUUAGAUAGUUGGUGAGGUAACGGCCCACCAAGUCGACGAUCAGUAGCCGGACUGAGAGGUUGAACGGCCACAUUGGGACUGAGACACGGCCCAGACUCCUACGGGAGGCAGCAGUGGGGAAUAUUGCGCAAUGGGGGAAACCCUGACGCAGCAACGCCGUGUGAUCGAAGAAGGUCUUCGGAUUGUAAAG
RNAcentral lists this ribosomal RNA (378 nucleotides) under uncultured Butyricicoccus sp. RNAcentral's name for it is "bacterial SSU rRNA". It matches the Rfam family "Bacterial small subunit ribosomal RNA", at positions 56 to 430 of the family's 1533-position model. Lineage: Bacteria; Bacillati; Bacillota; Clostridia; Eubacteriales; Butyricicoccaceae. The record is from RNAcentral.